This 237-nucleotide unclassified non-coding RNA is filed under the name uncultured fungus. Its description in RNAcentral is "sequence contains ITS2". Lineage: Eukaryota; Fungi. The record is from RNAcentral.
AACGCACAUUGCGCCCCUUGGUAUUCCGGGGGGCAUGCUUGUUCGAGCGUCAUUAUCACCACUCAAGCUCAGCUUGGUCUUGGGCUGCGCCUUUACCGGCCGGCCCCAAAUCCAGUGGCGACGCCCUCAGGGACCACGCGUAGUAACUCACCUCGCGGCGGGACGUGACGGGCGCCGACCAGAACCCCAACUCUUAUGGUUGACCUCGGAUCAAGUAGGAAUACCCGCUGAACUUAA